Armigeres subalbatus is the source of this 331-nucleotide long non-coding RNA. RefSeq lists it as uncharacterized. The transcript has 3 exons. The record is from RefSeq and is a predicted model, not a curated record. Lineage: Eukaryota; Metazoa; Arthropoda; Insecta; Diptera; Culicidae.
GAAUGAUUGGUUAUAAUAAUAUCCUAUCUAUCGGAAAACUGCAAAACGUAAAGUGUGCUGUUCGAUUUUAUACCCGUAAUAGCAGAAAAGAAUGUUUUGACAGAAGCGUAAACGACGAGAAGGAUUACCCGUUUUGUGGCUCAGCGGAGGAAACAGAAUCAUCAAUCAGCAAAGUUAAAACCGGCAGCAAAACGGCAUUGGACGAACAUGAAAAUUUGCAGACAUAAACACGUCCUCGUAUACUUCAAUGCAUCGAGAAGCUUCGAAAUAUGGAAGAACGCCAGCAAACUAAAAAGACUAACAAGCCAGGGAGAAACGAGAAUAGUUGACA